This is a non-coding RNA of Dermacentor andersoni, 572 nucleotides long. Lineage: Eukaryota; Metazoa; Arthropoda; Arachnida; Ixodida; Ixodidae. The record is from RefSeq and is a predicted model, not a curated record.
CUAUAGUCAAACAAAACAAAUCCUAAAAUUGUCUUAUUUUCAUUCAGGAAGGCUGCGAAUGCGGAGAAAGAGCCGAUCGAAAAAGAAAGGAUGAUAAGAGAGGAACAGAUGGUUGACUUCCAAGUGACUGAAAUAGAAGGGCUGAUGAGUGUCAAUAUCAGGACCAUAGACGGCAGUAAGAUAUAAAUAUUUUUUAUAACUUUCUUGCUCCAAGAGUAACAAAUAGGGAUAAUGUUGAAGCAUAUAUGCGGUUUAAAGUGUCCUGGGGAGUGUUUAUAUCAGAUAUUUCUAUAUCAUGCGCGCUUUCACAAAAUUAAAAAAAAAAAACUCGUACUUUGUUGAUCACUGUAGCCAAUGGCAUGACAUUUACAGUUGUCUUGACCAGCGUAGAGCAUAUAUGAAGUUUGCGUUAUUAGGUUACCUUCCAAAAAUAAAAAACAGCUAUCCAUCAUUUACUGAAGUAACUGUAAUAUCAAUAUUCCAAAACGCCCUGCAUAUUACUAGCACCGCUCAAUGGAAUUAUAUUCUUGUACUGAUGUAUUCGGUCAAGAGAAUUUUUCAUGAGAUGAACA